GGAUAACUGUGGUAAUUCUAGAGCUAAUACAUGCAAAAGAAUCCCAACGGCGGAGCAAUCCGUUCAGUAGGAAGCAAUUGUUAGAACACUAAAACUGUACCGAGGCAACGGGUUCAUUCUCGCUGCUUCACCUGGUAUAAAAAAUUUAGUGAAUCUGGAUAAUCACUAUGCAGAGCGCGUGGGGUAAACCAGCGCCAGACCUUUGAAGAGACUGACCUAUCAGCUUGAUUGUAGAUUAAAUGUCUACAAUGGCUAUAACGGGUAACGGGGAAUCAGGGUUCGAUUCCGGAGAGGGAGCCUGAGAAAUGGCUACCACAUCUAAGGAAGGCAGCAGGCGCGCAAAUUGCUCAAUCUUAGCUCGAUGAAGCAGUGACCAGAUAUCUUGAUGCGGGACUCUUCCGAGGCCUCGCAAUCGGGAUGCGUUUACUCCAAAAAGGUAAACUGAACGCAAUUGGAGGGCAAGUCUGGUGCCAGCAGCCGCGGUAAUUCCAGCUCCAAUAGCGUACAUAUAUACUGCUGCGGUUAAAAAGCUCGUAGUUGGACUUUUAUACUCGGCCAGACGGCCCUGAUCAGAUUCAUAACCUCUGCCGUGUGAUUUCCACCGCGCAGAAGCAAACAUCUCUAUCUCAUGAUUGGAUACAUUUCCUGACCAUUGCGAAAGGCUUAGAUCCUGGUAUUUGAACGGAUACGUGAGCGUGCGGUGAUGGAAGCUUAUUUUUUUUCGGUAUAUCUGAAAUCAACACUGGCCCAUUCACCCGGUGCGGUAUCCUGAAGAUUAUUUCAUCUCUUUGCUGGACGGUGGGAGGGAACCCUCGAUGUUCGGGAGGUGUUUGGGGACGUGCAUUUAGGACAUGGUUGCACGUGCCAGAGGCGAAUCGUACGGUCAGGUUCUUGCCGAUAUCUGUGUAUCCGAGUGUACCCAUUAAGAUGAUCGAAACGUCUCACUUAACGGGGGAAAAAAGCAAUUUUUUUCCUCGAGAGAAGUCUAGAUUGUCCAUAUCACUUUGAAUAAUUUAGAGUGCUCAGCGCAGGCAACUCUUAAACCAUAACGCUUGAAUGGUAAUGCAUGGAAUGAUGAAAGAUGAUCUCUGGUUCGUUUAGUCGGGGACGAGAGUCCUCGAUUUUAUAUCAGGUAACGGUAGAUGGUACGUUACAAAAAGUUCGAAACCAGAGAUAAUGAUUAAAGGGAACUGCCGGGGGCGUUUGUAUUACGGCGCUAGAGGUGAAAUUCUUGGACCGUCGUAAGACAACCUACUGCGAAAGCAUUCGCCAAGAAUGUUUCCAUUAAUCAAGAACGAAAGUUAGAGUCUAGAAGGAGAUCAGAUACCUCCCUAUUUCUAACCGUAAACUAUGCUAACCGGUUGUCCGUCGGAUGUGAAAUCCGAGACUGGAUGAGUAUCCCCCGGGAAACCAGAGUUUCUGAGUUCCUGGGGUAGUAUGAUUGCAAAGUCGAAACUUAAAGGAAUUGACGGAAGGGCACCACCAGGAGUGGAGCCUGCGGCUUAAUUUGACUCAACACGGGAAAACUCACCAGGCCCAGAACCAUGAGGGAUUGACAGAAUGAAAGCUCUUUCGUGAUUAUGAGGAUGGUGGUGCAUGGCCGUUCUUAGUUGGUGGAGCGAUCUGUCUGGUUAAUUCCGAUAACGAACGAGAUUCUAAUUUACUAAAUAGAAGGUGGAUUUCUUCUCCCGAAAGCCAUCAGGGGUCGUACUCUUUCAAUCGGUGGCACUUGAGAUAUCGUAGCGUAGUCUUGGCGUUGUAGCGCACGGGCAGCUUGCUGUUUCAACCUACACGCGGCGGACUGUGUGAAUGGUCUCUUGUACAACCACCACUGGGAGAAGCUACGGUCUCCUGGCUUAUGUCGGGGAGUCCAUCUGCGUGGUGACACGCAUCAAUUCUUCUUAGAAAUAUCAGUAGUGCAUUAAUUAAAUGAAAGAAAGAGCAAUAACAGGUCUGUGAUGCCCUUAGAUGUUCUGGGCCGCACGCGCGCUACAAUGCACGGUGCACCAAGCAUAUAAUGUCCUUCUCCCAGAUGAGUGGGUAACCAGGUCAAAUCCGGGCCUACUUGGGAUUGGGGCUUGCAAAUAUUUCCCAUAAACUGGGAAUUCCCAGUAAGCGUCGGCUCAUUCAAGUCGCGCUGAUUACGUCCCUGCCCUUUGUACACACCGCCCGUCGCUACUACCGAUUGGAUGAUUCAGUGAGAUAAUUGGACUGUCGCCCUCCUUGGUAUGUCCUCACGGACCUCUGCCUGUUUGGGCUGACGGGAAGAUGCUCAAACUUGCUCAUUUAGA
This 2291-nucleotide ribosomal RNA is filed under the name Nesotanais ryukyuensis. Its description in RNAcentral is "partial 18S rRNA". It matches the Rfam family "Eukaryotic small subunit ribosomal RNA", at positions 141 to 1777 of the family's 1831-position model. Lineage: Eukaryota; Metazoa; Arthropoda; Malacostraca; Tanaidacea; Leptocheliidae. The record is from RNAcentral.